Molecule: small nucleolar RNA, 139 nt
Organism: Alnus glutinosa
Lineage: Eukaryota; Viridiplantae; Streptophyta; Magnoliopsida; Fagales; Betulaceae
Product: small nucleolar RNA Z247
Exons: 1
Source: RefSeq, a predicted model, not a curated record
CCACUACAUGAUUCAGAUAUAAUCUCACAUUUACUUGUUGGCCUCGGUUCCAAUUAUGACGCUCUAGUGACAUCCAUUACCACUUGUGUUGAACAAAUGUCUCUUGACAACAUUUACUCUUAACUGUUGACACAUGAGA